UGGUCAUGCCUGCUUUGUACCCACUCCAUU
Molecule: non-coding RNA, 30 nt
Filed under: Mus musculus (house mouse)
Lineage: Eukaryota; Metazoa; Chordata; Mammalia; Rodentia; Muridae
Source: RNAcentral